RNAcentral lists this ribosomal RNA (242 nucleotides) under uncultured bacterium. RNAcentral describes it as "partial 16S ribosomal RNA". It matches the Rfam family "Bacterial small subunit ribosomal RNA", at positions 15 to 252 of the family's 1533-position model. The record is from RNAcentral.
GAUACAUGGCUCAGAUUGAACGCUGGCGGCAGGCCUAACACAUGCAAGUCGAACGGUAACAGGAAGAAGCUUGCUUCUUUGCUGACGAGUGGCGGACGGGUGAGUAAUGUCUGGGAAACUGCCUGAUGGAGGGGGAUAACUACUGGAAACGGUAGCUAAUACCGCAUAACGUCGCAAGACCAAAGAGGGGGACCUUCGGGCCUCUUGCCAUCGGAUGUGCCCAGAUGGGAUUAGCUAGUAGG